RNAcentral lists this ribosomal RNA (1434 nucleotides) under uncultured organism. RNAcentral's name for it is "SSU rRNA". It matches the Rfam family "Bacterial small subunit ribosomal RNA". The record is from RNAcentral.
UCUACAGGCUUAACACAUGCAAGUCGAGGGGCAGCAUGGUCUUAGCUUGCUAAGGCCGAUGGCGACCGGCGCACGGGUGAGUAACACGUAUCCAACCUGCCGUCUACUCUUGGACAGCCUUCUGAAAGGAAGAUUAAUACAAGAUGGCAUCAUGAGUCCGCAUGUUCACAUGAUUAAAGGUAUUCCGGUAGACGAUGGGGAUGCGUUCCAUUAGAUAGUAGGCGGGGUAACGGCCCACCUAGUCUUCGAUGGAUAGGGGUUCUGAGAGGAAGGUCCCCCACAUUGGAACUGAGACACGGUCCAAACUCCUACGGGAGGCAGCAGUGAGGAAUAUUGGUCAAUGGGCGCAGGCCUGAACCAGCCAAGUAGCGUGAAGGAUGACUGCCCUAUGGGCUGUAAACUUCUUUUAUAAAGGAAUAAAGUCGGGUAUGGAUACCCGUUUGCAUGUACUUUAUGAAUAAGGAUCGGCUAACUCCGUGCCAGCAGCCGCGGUAAUACGGAGGAUCCGAGCGUUAUCCGGAUUUAUUGGGUUUAAAGGGAGCGUAGAUGGAUGUUUAAUUCAGUUGUGAAAGUUUGCGGCUCACCGUAAAAAUUGCAGUUGAUACUGGAUAUCUUGAGUGCAGUUGAGGCAGGCGGAAUUCGUGGUGUAGCGGUGAAAUGCUUAGAUAUCACGAAGAACUCCGAUUGCGAAGGCAGCCUGCUAAGCUGCAACUGACAUUGAGGCUCGAAAGUGUGGGUAUCAAACAGGAUUAGAUACCCUGGUAGUCCACACGGUAAACGAUGAAUACUCGCUGUUUGCGAUAUACUGCAAGCGGCCAAGCGAAAGCGUUAAGUAUUCCACCUGGGGAGCACGCCGGCAACGGUGAAACUCAAAGGAAUUGACGGGGGCCCGCACAAGCGGAGGAACAUGUGGUUUAAUUCGAUGAUACGCGAGGAACCUUACCCGGGCUUAAAUUGCAGAUGAAUUACGGUGAAAGCCGUAAGCCGCAAGGCAUCUGUGAAGGUGCUGCAUGGUUGUCGUCAGCUCGUGCCGUGAGGUGUCGGCUUAAGUGCCAUAACGAGCGCAACCCUUGUUGUCAGUUACUAACAGGUUCCGCUGAGGACUCUGACAAGACUGCCAUCGUAAGAUGUGAGGAAGGUGGGGAUGACGUCAAAUCAGCACGGCCCUUACGUCCGGGGCUACACACGUGUUACAAUGGGGGGUACAGAGGGCCGCUACCACGCGAGUGGAUGCCAAUCCCAAAAACCUCUCUCAGUUCGGACUGGAGUCUGCAACCCGACUCCACGAAGCUGGAUUCGCUAGUAAUCGCGCAUCAGCCACGGCGCGGUGAAUACGUUCCCGGGCCUUGUACACACCGCCCGUCAAGCCAUGGGAGCCGGGGGUACCUGAAGUGCGUAACCGCGAGGAGCGCCCUAGGGUAAAACUGGUGACUG